GACGAACGCUGGCGGCGUGCUUAACACAUGCAAGUCGAACGAAGUGGCGAACGGGUGAGUAACGCGUAAUCAACCUGCCCUUCAGAGGGGGACAACAGUUGGAAACGACUGCUAAUCCCGCAUACUGAUGGGCGGGAAGGUGGGUGAUUUGCUAGUUGGAGGGGUAACGGCCCACCAAGGCGAUGAUCAGUAGCCGGUCUGAGAGGAUGAACGGGCACAUUGGGACUGAGACCAGGCCCAACGUCCUACGGGAGGGCAGAGUGGGGAAUCUUCCGCAAUUGACGGAAGUCUGACGGAGCAACGCCGGAUUAGUUAUGGCGGGCUUCGGGUUGUAAAGCUCUGUUAAUCGGGAAGCGGUCCCGGACUAGAAAGCCACGGGUAACUACGUGCCAGCAGCCGCGGUAAUAC
This 408-nucleotide ribosomal RNA is filed under the name uncultured bacterium. Its description in RNAcentral is "partial 16S ribosomal RNA". It matches the Rfam family "Bacterial small subunit ribosomal RNA", at positions 28 to 526 of the family's 1533-position model. The record is from RNAcentral.